GGAAAUCCUUCAGUGAUGUGCCAACAUCCACCCUUGUGCCGCAAGGGGUGACGUGAGAGUGUUGGUAAGAAUUGCUCGCGACAUCUUUUGUGACACAAAGGUGACACAUGCUCAGCACGGUCGCGGCACUCUUGUGACACAAGGGUGCCCAAGCUUCCUGGAAGUCAUGCCUCUUGAAAUUUUCAUGUGCGAUACUUUGCACUUCCCACAGCAUGACCUAAAAUGCUCCAAUAUACCUCAACAUGUACCUACAUAUAUAAAAUAUACCAACAAAAGCUUAAAUUCAACAAAUUAGGAUUAAAGGUGUGACU
Molecule: long non-coding RNA, 311 nt
Filed under: Solanum tuberosum (potato)
Lineage: Eukaryota; Viridiplantae; Streptophyta; Magnoliopsida; Solanales; Solanaceae
Description: long non-coding RNA (STUB_LNC010791)
Source: RNAcentral